This 384-nucleotide ribosomal RNA is filed under the name uncultured bacterium. Its description in RNAcentral is "bacterial SSU rRNA". It matches the Rfam family "Bacterial small subunit ribosomal RNA", at positions 29 to 414 of the family's 1533-position model. The record is from RNAcentral.
AUUGAACGCUGGCGGCGUGCUUAACACAUGCAAGUCGUGCGGUAACAGGCGUAGCAAUACGUGCUGACGAGCGGCGAACGGGUGCGUAAUACAUGGGAAUCUGCCUUUUAGUGGGGAAUAACCCGGCGAAAGCCGGGCUAAUGCCGCAUAAGAUCUUCGGAUGAAAGCGGGGGAUCGUAAGACCUCGCGCUGAUAGAUGAGCCCAUGCCGGAUUAGCUAGNGGUGGGGUAACGGCUCACCAAGGCGACGAUCCGUAGCUGGUCUGAGAGGACGGCCAGCCACACUGGGACUGAGACACGGCCCAGACUCCUACGGGAGGCAGCAGUGGGGAAUAUUGGACAAUGGGGAAACCCUGAUCCAGCGACGCCGCGUGUGUGAAGAAGG